CCUACGGGGGGCAGCAGUGAGGAAUAUUGGUCAAUGGGCGCGAGCCUGAACCAGCCAAGUCGCGUGAGGGAGGACGGCCCUACGGGUUGUAAACCUCUUUUGCCGGGGAGCAACGGGCGUCACGUGUGGCGCCACUGCGAGUACCCGGAGAAAAAGCAUCGGCUAACUCCGUGCCAGCAGCCGCGGUAAUACGGAGGAUGCUGGCGUUAUCCGGAUUUAUUGGGUUUAAAGGGUGCGUAGGCGGAUCGUUAAGUCAGUGGUCAAAUUGAGGGGCUCAACCCCUUCCCGCCAUUGAAACUGGCGUUCUUGAGUGGAAGAGAAGUAUGCGGAAUGCGUGGUGUAGCGGUGAAAUGCAUAGAUAUCACGCAGAACCCCGAUUGCGAAGGCAGCAUGCCGGCUUCCGACUGACGCUGAAGCACGAAAGCGUGGGGAUCGAACAGGAUUAGAUACCCCAGUAGUC
RNAcentral lists this ribosomal RNA (460 nucleotides) under uncultured bacterium. RNAcentral's name for it is "partial 16S ribosomal RNA". It matches the Rfam family "Bacterial small subunit ribosomal RNA", at positions 338 to 795 of the family's 1533-position model. The record is from RNAcentral.